CGGAUCCCCGGGCCGGGGCGAGGAGGUGGGGGGCUGCGAGGGCUGGGCCCGGAAACACGGGUAGUUCCAAGAGAUUUCGCGGUAGUGCCUGGAGAGGGGAGACCCUGCCUGGGACACAAGUCCCGUUGCAUACUGGCGUUCUGACCUCCAAACCAGCGAGAAGAGAAAGCAGAUACAAUAAAUAAACCAAGAGGGAAUAAACUUAGAGGCAAACGCGGCCCUCGGCAGUUCCUGGGGAAAGAUCAAAGGCCGUAGGAAGUGCCCCGCAGAGGAAAUCUGCAGUCACUAGCGACAGGACCGCGCCCGCCCCCUCCCCACCUUGCAACGCUGCCAGGACUCGGUGGGCGUCCUGGCUCUUCACAGUUAGCCUAUGUUUGGGAGCGCGGGAGGAAACAAUGUUGACUGAUAUAUUCUUCUCCCCUCCCCAGCCCCCCAAACACACACACACAGGAUUUCUACUCCUCUUUUAAGAAUGAAAUAUCCCCUGGCUGGAGAGUUUGUAAUGAGCUCAAUCUUGUUAGUUAGCAAAGCUGAGUGUGUUCCCUUAUGUGUUGGCAUUUUCAAGUGUGCAAUUGUCUGUUCACAAAUAAAUUCAAAGUCCCCUCCAA
Long non-coding RNA from Homo sapiens (human), 608 nucleotides. RefSeq annotates it as EGFLAM antisense RNA 6. The transcript has 2 exons. The record is from RefSeq and is a predicted model, not a curated record. NCBI's taxonomy places the organism in Eukaryota, Metazoa, Chordata, Mammalia, Primates, Hominidae.